GCGGAUAGAGGUAGGUAGCCAAAAGCAAAGAGAAGAGAGAACAGGGUUGGAAAGAAAAAGUGAGUUUGCUCCCUAGAUUAGGCUGUCUUGGGAAACGCCCAGUUGGUCAUCUAGAUUUGACCUUCAAGUGUGACCAGCAGCGGUCGAUUGAGCUGAAGAAAUUUUGUGGAAUUUUAAUAAUUUUUAAAUGAAAAGGUAAAUUUAAACCGGAGUUGACGAUGCGCUCUCGUAAUCCCACAACUCAGAAAGCUGAGGCAGGAGAAUGGUCACCAGUUGCAGGCCACCCUAGAAUACACAGCAAGGCUCUGCCUCAGAAAAUGCUGGAGAUUACAGGAGUGUACACCACAUGCCUGGAUUACGUGGCGUUGGGAAUUCAACCACGGGCAUCAUCAAUGCCAGGCAGGCAUUCUACCAACUGACCUACAUCCGAAGCCCCCAGAUAUAACACUUUUGUUUUUUUUUUGUUUUGAAAUUUUCAUCAGUUGAUAGAUACUCUGUUGUCUCCACUUUGGGCUACUAUGAAGAGAGAUACUGUGAACUUUCCUGUAUUACUUUAUGUGGUCUGUGUUCAUUUAUUUUAGGUAUAUAUGAAAGACUGGAAUUGUUGGGUCAUAGGUUAACUGUUUAAUCACUUUAGGAAGUGGCUGAAAUAAAAAAAGAAUCUGGUUGUUUCGUA
This is a long non-coding RNA of Meriones unguiculatus (Mongolian gerbil), 676 nucleotides long. RefSeq lists it as uncharacterized. Lineage: Eukaryota; Metazoa; Chordata; Mammalia; Rodentia; Muridae. The transcript has 2 exons. The record is from RefSeq and is a predicted model, not a curated record.